RNAcentral lists this ribosomal RNA (301 nucleotides) under uncultured bacterium. RNAcentral's name for it is "partial 16S ribosomal RNA". It matches the Rfam family "Bacterial small subunit ribosomal RNA", at positions 509 to 808 of the family's 1533-position model. The record is from RNAcentral.
CAGCCGCCGCGGUAAUACGAAGGGGGCUAGCGUUGUUCGGAAUUACUGGGCGUAAAGCGCACGUAGGCGGAUAUUUAAGUCAGGGGUGAAAUCCCAGAGCUCAACUCUGGAACUGCCUUUGAUACUGGGUAUCUUGAGUAUGGAAGAGGUUAGUGGAAUUGCGAGUGUAGAGGUGAAAUUCGUAGAUAUUCGCAGGAACACCAGUGGCGAAGGCGGCUAACUGGUCCAUAACUGACGCUGAGGUGCGAAAGCGUGGGGAGCAAACAGGAUUAGAUACCGUGUAGUCCCUGUCUCUUAUACA